Molecule: ribosomal RNA, 440 nt
Filed under: bacterium enrichment culture DGGE band 3 EBPR-2013
Lineage: Bacteria
Description: bacterial SSU rRNA
Rfam family: Bacterial small subunit ribosomal RNA
Source: RNAcentral
AACGCGAAGAACCUUACCAGGCCUUGACAUACUCAGCAAAGCCCUAGAGAUAGGGUGGAGGUUAUCUGGGAUACAGGUGGUGCAUGGUUGUCGUCAGCUCGUGUCGUGAGAUGUUGGGUUAAGUCCCGCAACGAGCGCAACCCUUGUCUUUAGUUACCAUCAUUCAGUUGGGGACUCUAGAGAGACUGCCGGUGAUAAACCGGAGGAAGGUGGGGAUGACGUCAAAUCAUCAUGCCCCUUAUGGCCUGGGCUACAAACGUAAUACAAUGGCGUAUACAAAGGGAUGCGAAAGGGCGACCUGGAGCAAAACUCAUAAAGUACGUCUCAGUUCAGAUUGGAGUCUGCAACUCGACUCCAUGAAGGCGGAAUCGCUAGUAAUCGCGGAUCAGCAUGCCGCGGUGAAUACGUUCUCGGGGUUUGUACACACCGCCCGUAAUCAC